RNAcentral lists this ribosomal RNA (590 nucleotides) under Brachybacterium paraconglomeratum. Its description in RNAcentral is "bacterial SSU rRNA". It matches the Rfam family "Bacterial small subunit ribosomal RNA", at positions 626 to 1216 of the family's 1533-position model. Lineage: Bacteria; Bacillati; Actinomycetota; Actinomycetes; Micrococcales; Dermabacteraceae. The record is from RNAcentral.
GUGGGUACGGGCAGGCUAGAGUGUGGUAGGGGAGACUGGAACUCCUGGUGUAGCGGUGAAAUGCGCAGAUAUCAGGAAGAACACCGAUGGCGAAGGCAGGUCUCUGGGCCAUUACUGACACUGAGAAGCGAAAGCAUGGGUAGCGAACAGGAUUAGAUACCCUGGUAGUCCAUGCCGUAAACGUUGGGCACUAGGUGUGGGGGACAUUCCACGUUUUCCGCGCCGUAGCUAACGCAUUAAGUGCCCCGCCUGGGGAGUACGGCCGCAAGGCUAAAACUCAAAGGAAUUGACGGGGGCCCGCACAAGCGGCGGAGCAUGCUGAUUAAUUCGAUGCAACGCGAAGAACCUUACCAAGGCUUGACAUGCACUGGACGGCUGCAGAGAUGUGGCUUUCUUUGGACUGGUGCACAGGUGGUGCAUGGUUGUCGUCAGCUCGUGUCGUGAGAUGUUGGGUUAAGUCCCGCAACGAGCGCAACCCUCGUUCUAUGUUGCCAGCACGUGAUGGUGGGGACUCAUAGGAGACUGCCGGGGUCAACUCGGAGGAAGGUGGGGACGACGUCAAAUCAUCAUGCCCCUUAUGUCUUGGGCUU